RNAcentral lists this ribosomal RNA (483 nucleotides) under uncultured bacterium. Its description in RNAcentral is "bacterial SSU rRNA". It matches the Rfam family "Bacterial small subunit ribosomal RNA", at positions 28 to 507 of the family's 1533-position model. The record is from RNAcentral.
GAUGAACGCUGCGGGCUGGCUUAACACAUGCAAGUCGAACGAAGCACAGAUGUAGAAGUUUCUUCGGAAAGGAAGCGCCUGUGACUGAGUGGCGACGGGUGAGGUAACGCGUGGGCAACCUGCCCCAUACCGGGGGACAACAGCUGGAAACGGCUGCUAAUACCGCAUACGUUUUCGGUGCCGCAUGGUGCUGAAAAGAAAACUACCGGUGGUAUGGGAUGGGCCCGCGUCUGAUUAGCUAGUUGGGAGGGUAACGGCCUACCAAGGCGACGAUCAGUAGCCGGCCUGAGAGGGCGACCGGCCACAUUGGGACUGAGACACGGCCCAGACUCCUGCGGGAGGCAGCAGUGGGGAAUAUUGCACAAUGGGGGAAACCCUGAUGCAGCGACGUCGCGUGAGCGAAGAAGUACCUCGGUAUGUAAAGCUCUAUCAGCAGGGAAGAAAGUGACAGUACCUGACUAAGAAGCCCCGGCUAACUACGUG